GCCCGGCUAGCUCAAUCGGUAGAGCGUGAGACUCUUAGUCCUCACGUCCUAACAGACACGAUUACUCAGUACAUCUCAAGGUUGUGGGUUCGACCCCCACGUCGGGCU
This is a transfer RNA of Pyrenophora tritici-repentis Pt-1C-BFP, 108 nucleotides long. It matches the Rfam family "tRNA". Rfam says of the family: Transfer RNA (tRNA) molecules are approximately 80 nucleotides in length. Lineage: Eukaryota; Fungi; Ascomycota; Dothideomycetes; Pleosporales; Pleosporaceae. The record is from Rfam.